This 490-nucleotide ribosomal RNA is filed under the name uncultured bacterium. RNAcentral's name for it is "partial 16S ribosomal RNA". It matches the Rfam family "Bacterial small subunit ribosomal RNA", at positions 28 to 507 of the family's 1533-position model. The record is from RNAcentral.
GAUGAACGCUAGCGAUAGGCUUAACACAUGCAAGUCGAGGGGCAGCAUGGUCUUAGCUUGCUAAGGCUGAUGGCGACCGGCGCACGGGUGCGUAACGCGUAUGCAACUUGCCUCACAGAGGGGGAUAACCCGUCGAAAGACGGACUAAUACCGCGUACACUCUAUGUUGGGCAUCCAAUGUAGAGGAAAUGAAAUUCGCUGUGAGAUAGGCAUGCGUCCCAUUGGCUAGUUGGUGAGGUAACGGCUCACCAAGGCGACGAUGGGUAGGGGAACUGAGAGGUUGAACCCCCACACUGGUACUGAGACACGGACCAGACUCGUACGGGAGGCAGGAGUGAGGAAUAUUGGUCAAGGGGCGAGAGCCUGAACCAGCCAAGUCGCGUGAAGGAUGACUGUCUUAUGGAUUGUAAACUUCUUUUAUACGGGAAUAACAAGAGUCACGUGUGGCUCCCUGCAUGUACCGUAUGAAUAAGCAUCGGCUAACUCCGUG